Long non-coding RNA from Ornithorhynchus anatinus (platypus), 331 nucleotides. RefSeq lists it as uncharacterized. NCBI's taxonomy places the organism in Eukaryota, Metazoa, Chordata, Mammalia, Monotremata, Ornithorhynchidae. The record is from RefSeq and is a predicted model, not a curated record. The transcript is spliced from 3 exons.
CUGUACUCUCCCAAACGCUCAGCACAGUACUUUGUACACAGUUUAAAGAUUAAGUGAGCAUAUUAAUUGGUCCCACGGCUUCUGAGGGUAGAAACAAAAAGCUAAAGAGAAUCCGUUCCACUCGGGCUGCUGAGGCACAGAUGAGAUUGAGGAAGCUGAGGUCCAGAGAGAGUAACCUGCCCGAGGUCUCAGAGCAGGCUAAGACUAGAACUAGAGACUCUCUGAUUUUCUCCAUCUGAGCUAUCUUCAUGGAUCAAAGAAGCCGGCCUACUUCAGUUAGUCUGGGCAGCCUAAAGCCUAUUUUAAUAAACAAAAGUAAGGUUGCAUUAAA